This is an RNA transcript of Mus musculus (house mouse), 534 nucleotides long. It is a transcript of the gene named predicted gene 16139, with no coding region annotated. The transcript has a single exon. NCBI's taxonomy places the organism in Eukaryota, Metazoa, Chordata, Mammalia, Rodentia, Muridae. The record is from RefSeq and is marked validated.
UCUUCCUUUCCAAUCCGCCGUCAGGGGUGGAGCCUCUGCUGGGAAGCAGAGUUUUAUGAAGACCAUUCUGGGAAGAGCACCAUGCUCGAGGUUGAACCCCUGGACACCAUAGAAAAUGUAAAGGCCAAGAUCCAGGAUAAGGAAGGACUUCCUCCUGAUCAGUAGAGGCUGGUCUUUGCUGGUAAGCAGCUGGAAGAUGGCCAUACUUGUUUGACUACAACAUUCAAAAGGAGUCCACCCUUCAUCUUGUGUUGAGCCUUCUUGGUGGUGCUAAGAAAAGAAAGAAGAAGUCUUACACCACUCCCAAGAAGAGUAAGCAUAAGAGGAAGAAGGUUAAGUUGGCUCUGCUGAAAGGUGGAUGAAAAUGGCCAAUCAGUUGACCUCAUCCAGAGUGUCCUUCUGAUGAGUGUGGUGCUGGAGUUAUCAUGGGAAGCCACUUUGACAGGCACUGCUGUGGCAACUGUUGUCUGACUUAACUGCUUCAACAAACCAGAAGGCAAGUAGUUGUGUAUGAGUUACUAAAAGGAAUAAACU